This 373-nucleotide ribosomal RNA is filed under the name uncultured organism. RNAcentral's name for it is "partial 16S ribosomal RNA". It matches the Rfam family "Bacterial small subunit ribosomal RNA", at positions 527 to 896 of the family's 1533-position model. The record is from RNAcentral.
GUAGGUGGCAAGCGUUGUCCGGAAUUAUUGGGCGUAAAGCGCGCGCAGGCGAUUCUUUAAGUCUGAUGUGAAAGCCCACGGCUCAACCGUGGAGGGUCAUUGGAAACUGGAGAACUUGAGUACAGAAGAGGAAAGCGGAAUUCCACGUGUAGCGGUGAAAUGCGUAGAGAUGUGGAGGAACACCAGUGGCGAAGGCGGCUUUCUGGUCUGUAACUGACGCUGAGGCGCGAAAGCGUGGGGAGCAAACAGGAUUAGAUACCCUGGUAGUCCACGCCGUAAACGAUGAGUGCUAAGUGUUAGGGGGGUUUCCGCCCCCCUUAGUGCUGCAGCUAACGCAUUAAGCACUCCGCCUGGGAGUACGGCCGCAAGGCUG